AUGUGGAGCAGCGACAACGUCCCUGUGGAGCAACAACGUCCAUGUGGAGCAACAACGUCCCUGUGGAGCAACAACGUCCCUGUGGAGCAACAACGUCCAUGUGGAGCAGCGACAACAUCCCUGUGGAGCAACAACGUCCAUGUGGAGCAACAACGUACCUGUGGAGCAACAACGCCCCUGUGGAGCAACAACGUCCCUGUGGAGCAACAACGUCCAUGUGGAGCAACAACGUACCUGUGGAGCAACAACGUCCCUGUGGAGCAACAACGCCCAUGUGGAGCAACAACGCCCCUGUGGAGCAACAACGUCCAUGUGGAGCAACAACGUCCAUGUGGAGCAACAACGCCCCUGUGGAGCAACAACGCCCCUGUGGAGCAACAACGUCCAUGUGGAGCAACAACGUCCAUGUGGAGCAACAACGUCCCUGUGGAGCAGCGACAACGUCCCUGUGGAGCAGCGACAACGUCCCCUGUGGAGCAGCGACAACGUCCCUGUGGAGCAACAACGCCCCUGUGUAGCAGCGACAACGUCCCUGUGGAGCAACAACGUCCCUGUGGAGCAACAACGUCCCCUGUGGAGCAGCGACAACGUCCCUGUGGAGCAACAACGUCCCUGUGGAGCAGCGACAACGUCCCUGUGGAGCAACAACGUCCCCUGUGUAGCAGCGACAACGUCCCUGUGGAGCAACAACGUCCCUGUGGAGCAACAACGUCCAUGUGGAGCAGCGACAACGUCCCUGUGGAGCAACAACGUCCCUGUGGAGCAACAACGUCCCUGUGGAGCUUUCUCCCUCCUCAUCUUGCUGAACGCCGUUGUAAGACCGGUCUCACCUCACACCCUCAUGUAGAGGGGACCUUUGCUCCAGAGACUGCUUCACACACACAUUCUGCUGAAUGUCUUUUGCAAGAUCUGCAACCCUCCCUGAGCUGCUCUGAUGAAGAGCUUAGUGAUGCAUCAGCAGACCAAAGAGCUCCUCUGACUUCUCUGGAUUGGAGCAUUCACAAUGCUCUCUUUUCUGAGAGAUGGAGGGAAAAGAGACCAUCUCUUCUUAGUAGCAUGCUGGCCAAGGAGAGCGUGGCAACAAAUGGCUGGUUGUAAAUGUAAAUAUUACCUUGUAGGACGGUAUGAUCUCAACAUGCCUGAGCUGACCUGCGAGGGAUGCCCGGCAACUUGGACUGCAGGACUUGAUGACCUGAUAAAAACUGGAUACUGACCUGCCACCCUUCAUUUUGUAACAAUUUAUGAGACAGACCUGUUUUAUACGUUUGAAGACAUGAAGAUGGCAUCACCCGGGAUGUCUUUUCAGGCAUAUCUAAGAAUGCUUGAGAAGCGGACUGCUCGCUUUGGCCGUGUAAGUAUUUCUCUAUAUGUUUGUGUUUUGAAAUGGAAAGGUCUUUGUUUAAAAAAUUGUUUUGUGCUUUUUUCUUUUUACAUAGACUGGGAAGAUCUCAUCAGACAGCUUCCAAAAAAGCUUUUUUUGAAUGGGCUGCUGUACAAUAUGAGGUUGACUCCACCUGCAAGGAGGAGAAAUUCAUCUGUCCUGCCUGUACCCCAGCAAUGCUUUCUGUCUCGGUGGAUGGAAACCGCAAGCGUUACCGCUUCAAAAGUACUGCAAGGUAUACAAUAAUGUACAGAUAGAUAGUUAGGUUUUAUACAACAAGUAACCUUUCGAUGUAUGACAUGUUAAAAAGAUAGUUAAGGUGUUUUGAAGUGGGGUUGUAUGAGGUACUUAUCCAUGGUCAGUCUGUUACCUACAGCAGACAAUGGUCACCGCCACCCAUCCCCUGCCUCUAUUGUGGAGAAGCAGAAAAAUGUGUUUUAGCCACAUAUAAAAGACCCACCUGAAAAAAAACCCAAUAUCCAGGAUUGUAGUUGUGGUUAGAUGUAGAAAUAUGCAUUUCUACAGUUGAGACAAUGUAGUGCCAAGGAAAAGGGCUGUCUGAACACUGUGUACUGUAGGUAACACACUUACUAUGGAUAAGUACCUUAUACCAUCCCACUUCAGAGUACUCAACUAUCCUUUUAAACAUUGAAGCCUUUUUAUUUCUUGUUGUUUUUUUAGAUCUCAGGAGCGGGCCAUCUUUGACGGUGUCUUCAUUGCAAAAGAUGACGAUGUGACCAGAUUUGUGGAUCACAUCCACAGCAAAAAUAAACAUGUAAUAGCAGACUUCAAUUUAUAUCUCAAUAUAACAUUAUAAUUCAUAGUCUGUCAGUACUCCCAUGUAUUGUGAUAUCUACCUGUAUACCUAAUUGUUCUUAAUCUGCUAACACUUAUCUGUUCCUUGUCCCCUAAGAGAAAUGUAUAAUUGUUCCCUGUAAUGACUGUUGAUGGGAUUAUUUGUCAAUUAUGAUUUUCUACAAUGUAGGGCACUGGAAGGAGCAAUUGUGGUGGGGAGUGGUCAGCUGCCAGAGAGACCAAUCAGUAAGGUGGAUGAGGAGGGACUGGAGCUGGCAGUGUGCAGGCAUGAUGUCUUGCUGGCUGCCCUUAAUAUGUUUGUACAUGCUAAAGCGCAUGACUUCAAAUGUGAGGUUAGUAUAAUACAGUACAUUUUUAUCAAAUGACUUGCAAUCCUAUAAAUGAUGCAUAUAAAUGUGU
Molecule: long non-coding RNA, 2596 nt
Filed under: Dicentrarchus labrax (European seabass)
Lineage: Eukaryota; Metazoa; Chordata; Actinopteri; Moronidae
Description: lncRNA (ENSDLAG00005026943.1)
Source: RNAcentral